This 301-nucleotide ribosomal RNA is filed under the name uncultured bacterium. Its description in RNAcentral is "partial 16S ribosomal RNA". It matches the Rfam family "Bacterial small subunit ribosomal RNA", at positions 509 to 808 of the family's 1533-position model. The record is from RNAcentral.
CAGUCGCCGCGGGAAUACGUAGGUCCCGAGCGUUGUCCGGAUUUAUUGGGCGUAAAGCGAGCGCAGGCGGUUAGAUAAGUCUGAAGUUAAAGGCUGUGGCUUAACCAUAGUACGCUUUGGAAACUGUUUAACUUGAGUGCAAGAGGGGAGAGUGGAAUUCCAUGUGUAGCGGUGGAAUGCGUAGAUAUAUGGAGGAACACCGGUGGCGAAAGCGGCUCUCUGGCUUGUAACUGACGCUGAGGCUCGAAAGCGUGGGGAGCAAACAGGAUUAGAUACCCCUGUAGUCCCUGUCUCUUAUACC